GAGUGGCGAACGGGUGAGUAACACGUGACCAACCUGCCUCUUACAUUGGGACAACCAAAAGAAAUUCUGGCUAAUACCAAAUACUCCGCACAUAUCACAUGAUGUAUGCGGGAAAGCUUUUGCGGUAAGAGAUGGGGUCGCGGCCCAUUAGGUAGACGGCGGGGUAGAAGCCCACCGUGCCGAUGAUGGGUAGCCGGGUUGAGAGACCGACCGGCCACAUUGGGACUGAGAUACGGCCCAGACUCCUACGGGAGGCAGCAGUGGGGAAUAUUGCGCAAUGGGGGAAACCCUGACGCAGCAACGCCGCGUGCGGGAUGAAGGCCUUCGGGUUGUAAACCGCUUUCAGCAGGGAAGACAUCGACGGUACCUGCAGAAGAAGCCCCGGCUAACUACGUGCCAGCAGCCGCGGUAAUACGUAGGGGGCGAGCGUUAUCCGGAUUCAUUGGGCGUAAAGCGCGCGCAGGCGGUUGCUCAAGCGGAACCUCUAAUCUCGGGGCUUAACCUCGAGCCGGGUUCCGAACUGGACGACUCGAGUGCGGUAGAGGCAGAUGGAAUUCCCGGUGUAGCGGUGGAAUGCGCAGAUAUCGGGAAG
Molecule: ribosomal RNA, 592 nt
Filed under: uncultured bacterium
Lineage: Bacteria
Description: bacterial SSU rRNA
Rfam family: Bacterial small subunit ribosomal RNA
Source: RNAcentral